Molecule: long non-coding RNA, 843 nt
Organism: Harpia harpyja (harpy eagle)
Lineage: Eukaryota; Metazoa; Chordata; Aves; Accipitriformes; Accipitridae
Exons: 2
Source: RefSeq, a predicted model, not a curated record
UGGCUUGCUGGCGGUGGUUUUCCAGGCUUGGUUCUCCAGGCACGGCUUGCUGGAGGUGGUUCUCCAGGCUUGGUUCUCCAGGUACCACUUGCUGGAGGUGUCUCCCCAGGCUUGGUGUCUCUGUGGUGGUUCCCCAGCAGGCUCUCGGGACUGGGCUCCCUGGCCAGCCCGGUGCCAGCAGAGGGCCUCCCUUACCCAACAGAGCACCGCGCCGCCACGAAAUUAUAAAACACAUUAUCUAUUUGGCAAAAGUUUAUGCAAGGACCAGGAAAUGGGCUGGAGUUCAUUCUCCUCCAGAAGACCGGAGACAACGUGUCGUCCCCCCCCGCUUCUUUUUUUAAUGCCAGCACUCGAGAUGCAUUAAAGCCACGGGAGUGUUCAUCAUUAAAAUGGCAAUUGCGAAGCGAGGCAAUAAAUUUAACAUCAUAAAAGGCACUGGGAGGGUCCCGUUCAUCUGUUGCUCUUCAAAGAAAAGUGUUAGUUGCUUCUGAAAAAAAAAAUUGGGAAGAAACAGGUUGCUCCUGCAUCCCUUGGCUUCCCUCACCACCUUCUUCUAGCUCCUGCAGACUCCUUUUCCUUCCUCAUUGCCUGAUAACGGCCUUCAGAUCCAUGAGAAACGGGGCGAUGGUCCAUGCGUGGAGCUGUGCGAGCCCCUCGGGGCUGGGGCAGGGGGACGGAGGAGGGACAGAUGAAUGGACACCACCGAGGUUGUGCAGUUGGUGAGGAGCAGAUCUGCCACUGCUUGGCGUGGUGCUCAGCCUGGCUGCCUGCUAGCCAUCCCCGCCAGCUUGAACAAUGGAUGUGCUGCCACUUCUCAGUAAUAAAAUCCUUCCUCCACAUACA